RNAcentral lists this ribosomal RNA (504 nucleotides) under uncultured bacterium. RNAcentral describes it as "partial 16S ribosomal RNA". It matches the Rfam family "Bacterial small subunit ribosomal RNA", at positions 30 to 523 of the family's 1533-position model. The record is from RNAcentral.
AUUGAACGCUGGCGGCAGGCCUAACACAUGCAAGUCGAGCGGUAGCACAGAGAGCUUGCUCUCGGGUGACGAGCGGCGGACGGGUGAGUAAUGUCUGGGAAACUGCCCGAUGGAGGGGGAUAACUACUGGAAACGGUAGCUAAUACCGCAUAACGUCGCAAGACCAAAGAGGGGGACCUUCGGGCCUCUUGCCAUCGGAUGUGCCCAGAUGGGAUUAGCUAGUAGGUGGGGUAACGGCUCACCUAGGCGACGAUCCCUAGCUGGUCUGAGAGGAUGACCAGCCACACUGGAACUGAGACACGGUCCAGACUCCUACGGGAGGCAGCAGUGGGGAAUAUUGCACAAUGGGCGCAAGCCUGAUGCAGCCAUGCCGCGUGUAUGAAGAAGGCCCUCGGGUUGUAAAGUACUUUCAGCGGGGAGGAAGGGAGUAAAGUUAAUACCUUUGCUCAUUGACGUUACCCGCAGAAGAAGCACCGGCUAACUCCGUGCCAGCAGCCGCAGUAA